Meleagris gallopavo (turkey) is the source of this 14291-nucleotide non-coding RNA. The record is from RefSeq and is a predicted model, not a curated record. Lineage: Eukaryota; Metazoa; Chordata; Aves; Galliformes; Phasianidae.
UAGUAAGAGAGUGGUACAUCAGCAAGAAAAGUUUUCUUCCUGAAGAGAAAUGUAAGUAAAUGUUGAGACAAGAGAAGUCAAUGUGACCCAUGCAGAGCUUUCUUUCCCUGACAUACUUGAGAAUCAGAUAUCUCAGAGGUAAUAGUUUAUUUAUGAUUAUAGAACCAAUUUCCUUUGCUUGAAUGUGUCAAUGGGUAUGUGGGUAUCCUUCAGUCAUCUACAUGGGUAUUUUCCCUGUGAGAAAUGAAACCUGUAAGUCCCUAAGUUGUAAUUUUUAAAUAAAUUAGGCUCAGGGAAGCAAAUAUCAUUGAAGAUUUCAGUGCCAUCAGGCUGAGCUUCCCAGUCUUUGAAUUGAAUUUGCCUCUGUAUUUGAUGCAAACAAAUAGGAUCUCUCUGGUGUUUGGCAUAUGUAUAGACAUUUCUCUUUCAGUUAUUAUAACCUUAUUAUCACUAAGAAUCCUUAAAAAAUGCAUAUAAAACAUUUUAAAAUAAAGAGGACAUCUCUGUUGCGUCUAUGUUAGUCUAGAACACUGCUCAGCUCAGGAUCUACAGCCAGGCAUGCUGGGCUACUUCAGGAAUCAUAGAGUCAUGAAUGUCUUUGGUUGGAAGGGACCUUAAAGCUCACUCAGUUCCAACCCCUGCCAUAGGUUGAUUGUCCCCACCAGAUUGGGCUGCCCAGGGCCCCAUCCAAUCUGGCCUUGAACACCUCCAGGGAUGGGGCAUCCACAGUUGCUUUGGGUAACCUGAACUAAAGGUUGAUAUCAUUAGAAAACUUUUGGAAAUGUUAAUAAUAUAGUCCCCAAAGUUGCUUUCAUUUUGCAGCUGAAUCAUUUAUUAUUUACUAGCACAGGCAAGGAUGGCUCAUAACUUUGAUCUUCUUGCUUAUGGGGCACAGCACUUUAAUUUGGGAGCAGCCAUACUGAUUUGGUAAAUAGAUUGAGGAAGAGCUUCAGACGUGGGCUUUAAAAUUCAUGAGGAUCUGAUUUAGUACAUCUUACACCAAUAUUUUUGCAUAUUGACUCUGUGGCUAAAUCACGUCAUAACCUAGAGGACCAGUGAUCACCAUGAUCUAUCAUAGAUAGUACAAGGCAUAAUCAGUGUUGCUAGUCUGCUGAAAUAUCUCUAUAUAUAGUAUUUGUCAGAAGAAUACAUGCAAAGCUACUAAAAGAAACAAAGUCCGUACAUGGACGAUUUACAAACAGGAGAAAGGGCUAAAUUUGCCACUGUUUGCCCUGAAUAGCUUACCCAGAUUACAGGCCAAUUUUGUUUUGGACAGAAAUAUUUUCCAUUGCAGAGUCUGCUAAAGUCAACAGAGUGCUAUUCCUUUGGCUGCAGGAUGGGCUGAAGGCUGGGUUGUAUUUUGGGACUGGCAGCUCUGUCCAUCUCCCUUUAACCCAUUUGACCGCAGUUUGACUGGGACUUGACUAAGCACUUAAUUCUGUGAUUGCCUUGAUUGUGGACUCCUGCUCCUAAACCUAUUGCAAUAUUGUAAAUAUUAGCAAUAAAAAGCUGCCCCUGAUAACAAAAAAUAUUGUAUUAAGUUAACAGACCGGGUAUUAAAAAUGCAGAACCAGCCUAAUGAAAUAACUUGCCUUUGGUUGCAAGAACCUUCAUCAUAAGAAGAUUUAAGACUAAUCUGACUUCAUUCCAAUUAUUUUUCAGGAAUUUGGGGUGCUUUAUUUUUCUUUUCAACAUCAUUAUUCAGUCUUGACAGUUCUUAUUUUGUUAUUUUUUUUGCAUAUUGAGUAAAUGAGAAAUCAGUUCACAACCAUUCUUAAGGAGAAAUGAAAUGCCCAGUAAUCCAAUUUUGAUCAAAAUGCAUCUUUGCUUUUCAGGAACCGACCAGCCUGUGCAGUUAUCUCCACAUGCACAGAGUUGAUAAUAAAGCAAAGUAAAGCUCACAUUCUUUUCCCAGUGAGAGAAAAUCUCACUUGGUGGGAAUAGGGCAUUGUUCAGCUGGAGAACAAUGUGCUGUUCCCCCAGCGUGUGACAAAGCAGAGAAUGACAAGAUGAUUUCUCCCUGUGCUUCUACUUUUGUUUCUCAAAUGUUUACAGGCCCGGAGUAAACCUUUUCUUCACCCUAGCUGGGUGGUUCUCUUUCCUGCAAACCUUUCUUUCUGUCUCUCCUGAUGCCUUGUGUUUGCAGAAGAUAGCGUGCUACUGCAGCGCUUUUCCCAAAAGCAACCUUGAGAAGAAGAGACAGACCCAGCUGUCUUCACAGACCUGUUUUAAAGCUCCUCCGCCUUCCGUUUCAGCAUCCAUUGCCACUUGGUUUUGCAAAAAAAAAAACAAAAACCCACAAAACAACAAACACAGAAGAAACCAAAAUGCAUCACAAAAAUACAAUCCCUUUCCAAAGAGUGUCUGCACAAACAACUUUUGUGUGUCUCACGUGGUGCAUAGAAGUAUUCCCAUAGUCCAUUGGUUUUGGCUUUUUUUUGUGGAAUUGUGCUGGCUUCAGUGAUUCCAGCUUAGUCCCUAACUGGUUUUUAUUCACCUUUGCCCUUUAGAACUUAUACCUAAAGGAGCCACUGCAUUUCUCUUGUGCAACAUCAGCAAAACUGGUGGCUUUGAAAUGCUUUCUAGCAAUCAAGCAAAGCUGCUCCACUUCUAUGAAUGUCCUUCAUCCUUUCUACCACCCAUUUCCUCACCAACUCCUCCUAACUAUUGAACAGUUUUCUCCUGUUCAUUUUUCUCUGCCAUGAGUUCACUUCUCCACAUUUUCAGAGUCCCUGAGUGUGUUUCUGCACCUUCUGAUUUCAAUGGCUGUGUACUGAUGCUUAUUCAGAUGAAUAAGCAGUGGAUAGAGAAAACUAAAUGGUUUGAGGACUCUAUAUGAAGUAUAUGAAUAGUUAUUGGAUGAAGGUGUUGGAUGGGUAUGGAUAAACAUGUAUAUGAACGAAGGUAUUGGAUGAUAGGUAUAUGAAUGGAACCAGAUGCACUGUAUCUGGGCAUUAUCUUCCAUUAGGGUCUCAAAGCACUUUGAUACCCUGCUGAAUUGUUUUUAGAUUCCUCCACCUGGGCUGUGGUGCAACUAGAUUUAUGCUGCUUAAUGGGCUGAUUCCAGGGUGGAGAGUAGACUUUGGAUUUCCAAGCUUCCCAUUAAUUCCUCAGUAUUUUAUCUGCAUUUUAAAGGGCUCUAGCAGCUUAGAAAAAUAAUGGCCACUGUCCAUAAGUUCGAGAGAAGGCAAUGCAAAGGGCAUUUUUCUAGGAUGAGGCAGAGUACUGAACAGCAACAAGUUUUAUCAACUGACAGAGCUAAUUUCCCAGGGAUCUGUCAGUGUAUCAUCACCCAUCUGUUUAAACCGCUUGGGAUUCUGAGCCCACAAGAUUCUGUGAAGAAGGUUGUAACAGAGCAAUGCACUCCUGUGUGCUCCCAAAAAAAGUUGGCCACACACCUGAGUCUGGGUUGUCACAUGAAGCAAGUAUUAGAUGUGAGAAUCCAUUGUUCAGUAGUCAUCUUGACGUUAUAAUUGUUUCCUAAAGAGAAAGAAGGGAAGAUGAGAGAGAUAACAAAUCACUAUGGGAUAUUAUGAAGAGGAUCUCUUCCUAGACCGACAGUAAAUGGCUUCUUUUCCAUGGCACUAGGAAACAGCCAUGUUUAUAACUAAAAAACCCUGACCUUUUCAAACAUAUUCGGUUGCCUUUCCAAGUUACCUUUAUUUUCAUUUACCCAUCACUUGUUACUGUCUUAUUUGUAUCUAUUCUUUUCAAGACAACUUGUGGUUUCUUGACUCUUCGCCCUUUCUGUUUUCCUCACCAUCUAACCUUAGAGCAUUCCUCUUUUUUCUCUCUGAAAAUCUGCCUGCUGGUAUUUUCCAUGAAUCCAUCUGCAUUGAAUUAUUUAUAGUUACAAUAAAGUUUGCUUUUGUCUAAUGUUUAUUUUCUUUAAUAACAAGAAACAUGGGGAAAACGUUCCAAAGAACCGAAAAAGGACUUGACUUUUCCUGGACGCUAGGCAACGGUAGCCAAAAAGCACAAAACAAGCCAUAGGAUGUUCGUAAGAUGAUUUCUAAAAAUAAUAAUACUUAGUACUUUGGUAUCUAAUGCACUUUUUUUGCCUUCAUUAUAUUUCCCAAAUCUGGGCCUCGAUUAUAAUGUUGUCAUGUCACUCUAAAGGCUGCAGUAGGCAAGAAGCUACUGUAGAGGCAACCAGGAGCAAUAAGCAGACGGAUACAUCUGAUAGAGGCCAGACUUCUGCUUCUUCUCCUUGUCCUAAGUGUUUCAUAUAGGUCACGGAACUCUCUUAUGCUAGUCAUUCCUGGCCAGUGGGUUUAUCUUGUGUCUGGUAGAAAUUAGAGCAAACAAUGCAUCGUACCUGAUGAGUCAUUGCUAGUUCUUUCAUACCUUUUGCUGCUUGUUUGAAUUGAGUUUUUAUUAUGAUUUAAAGGUUUUUCCCAUCUUCUUUUCCAGUGGAGGGUUUAUGUUGUUCAUAUGCCUUGUUUUCUCUUCAAUUGUGUGAGUCAUGCAAGCAAUUCCCCUUGAACACUUUUCAGCACCCCCCACCCCUUAUCUCACCUCUCCGUGUUCUCCUCAUUUACUCAGCUCUGUUCUCUUCUGUGUUUCCUGCACUGCCUACAGUGAUUGCACUUCGCGUGGAUGCUCUGGGGGAGGGAAUAUGGAAGGCAAGAAGGCAAAGAAAGGACUUCUAUGGAAUCUGCAUGAGCUGAAACAUGACAAAGGCUGAAGUUAUAAAAUAAGUGACAGGAGGAAUGGAAGAGAGGAGCAAGUUAAAGUUCAGGUCCUGAGUGACAAGAGACACCCUCAGCAUGGAGAUACACAGAGAACCUGGGCAAGGGAAGUCCUCCUGGAUGAAACAUGGAAAGCUCCUGCUGAUGAGCCUGUAGGACCUUACAGCUCCUUGUGUGUCUGCUUGCUAUGGCUGCAUAGGAGUUGCUCACCUGAUUACUAGGGAUGAAGUCAGGAAGGAAUUCUUCCCCUCCGUCUGAUCACAAAGGCUGCUUCUUUCAUCUUCUGUGCUUCGAGGCUUGGUCUCCCUCCUGGAUGUGUUCACAAUCACACUCCCUGCUGUUGUUGGGACCUGAUAAGUUGGCACGGCUCUCGACCUCUCCUCAUCAGUUUACUUUCUAACAUCCUGAAAGCUUCAUCAUGACUGCUCAGUGCACCUCACCCAGGGCUGAGAUUAAAAGUUAAAGAAGAGAACGAGUGAACACAACGGGAGAGAAAACAGAAGAGAUUUUGGCAGCAACCUGGUGACACUCUGAAAGGUCUUUGGGGUAACAGAGAACAGCAAGCAACUUGUGAUCCACAAAGGAAAAUGGCAGCAAAAGCAACAGGAUUGAACUUCUGCAAUUGUGGUGAUGGUAUGCCACCUGGCUGUGGAAUCAUGUGCAAGGCUCCAAAGAAUAAAUGUGACGCCCUUUUGGCAGCUCAGGCUGGAGCUGGAAUCUCCUCUGGUCUCAUCCUGCAGGUUGAACUCUCCCUGAGAAAGUCAGCUUGUCUGUAUGAAAGGAGCAAGACAAACACUCGGACGUGAGUCCCAGCUUUGCAGCUGCAGACCAGGACUGCUUUGUCAGGCAGCAGUUGGAUGAGACUUGAUGGGAGAAUCACCCAAGACAAGAAGUGCAAAGGGGUUUACCACUGCAGAGACAUGGAAGCACCUCAGCUAGGACAGCGCUGUUUUGUUGAAUGAUGCAUGUGCUCCCAGUAACUCAGGUCAGAAAGGAGCUGUCAGAGACCUGCCUCUCUUGAAAAGCAUGUGGAUUUCAUCUACACAAGCAUAACUGCUAUUACUGUCAGUGGUAAUAUUCCCUUCUUGACACGAGCUUCCGGGCACAUUAGUCUAGAUUUAGACCUCAAUUUAUCCCAAGAAGUAGAUGCCAAGAAAAUUUUUCCCGGUAACUACUGAUAUCUGUGGCUUAUGAGAAGUGCGGUGAGUUUUGCUAUUCAGUUUCUACCCAGCGAGGCUUUUCUUUUUCGUCAUGUCUGAGGUAUAUUCUUCUGCACAGCUAUUUCAUGACAUGUGUCAUUCUUCAAAGUCAGAGUCAUUCCCACCAGAGUGUAUGCAAACCAAACCUCUGCCUUUGUUCAGUGAUAAGUGCUUCCAUUAUCCUUCUCUUUCCACUUACUGAUUUGCUUUUGAGACUUGUACACAAGCAAUUUCUUGACUUGAAGGCAAAUCUGUUGCAAUAACGCUGAAUCUGCAGAAUAGACCACCUGGAAAAUAUUUGAUCUUCCGCUGGAAAACAUUUUGCUUUUGCAGGUUGGUAGACUGUCUCAAAUAAUGCCACAAUGUAAAAUGUCUGGGUCAAAUUUUGAGUUGAUGAGGCAGUGCUGUCUGACCAGAAUAUCCUUGGGGUCAGGGAGAUGAUGGUCUCGAGGAUCAGUGCUAUCAUGGAGCAUGCUUUGCCCUGCAGACAAUGAAUAGGUUUCCAUCUUCAUUGUAUCUGCUUUAUAGUUGCUUCAGAAGAAGCACUCUGAGAUUGAUCCUGACCCUCUACUGUUACAUGUAUGUCCACAAGAGCAAUGUUUGAUUUUGAUAAGCAUAUAUAUAUUCUUUUUUCAUAUGGGAAGAAUUUUCCCAGAAUCUCAAAACCAUUGGUAAAGUUGUAACCAAUUCUAACUUUUGCAUUUUUCUUCCCCCCACCCCCACGAUUAAAAAUGCCAACAACACCACCUGGAAAUCCAUCUCAGAUGCCACUCCUUCAAGCAGAGUUUCCCACUUGUAUCGAACCAGGAGUUUUGGACCAUCGUGGGACUACCUGAAAAUAAUGCUGUGGUUCUGAUUCCUCCAGUGUGUCUUCAUAGACCUGAUGUCAGCUUCUUUCUUGUGGAGAUGAAGAAUGUCACCAUGAAUGUCCAUUGGCAAACUGGAUAAGAAAGAGUGUCACACUGCAGGACAACCUAGAAGAUGACAGGUAUUUCCAGGCAUAGCAAUGAUGAGAUCAAAUUCCCCUCAACCUGCCUUGUUUGCUGAUCUUUUAAUCAGAUUCAACUUCACUGCAGCUACAGCACAAGGUUCCCUGACAACGUAUGACAGCAUGUGACAGAAAAAUAUUUUGAUUUUUUUUUUUUUGUUGACCAUUUGAUGCUGUUUCAGAUAUAUCUGAAGCCCUGGCAGCAUCUGCUAAAUCUACUGAACUGUUUUAGUGGAGGUUUUUAAACGUGCAUAAUUGAACUGGAGGGUUUGGAGGUUGUGUUCAUGUGCAUGUAGGGGAAUCCAAACAGGAAAGCUGGGAAAUGAUCUAAACCCUUUGAGGUUAACGUGCCAUGAAAGAGCAUCAACGACCGAAGAGGACAUUAUUAAAAAGCAGCCAACCCAGCUCAAAAAGAACCACUCUGUGAAGCAAGAGCCUGCAGAACAACACCCAGGGCUGUUUGUGAUCCCACUGGGAUAUGUAUUUCAUCCCCUGUCUUCAUAUCCCCAGAUUUCCUCUGAACUGCUUCUGAGACGCGUUCUCGAAAAAGAAAAACACCAGCAACUACUGAAUGCCUCUUAUCAACCUUUUCCCCGCAAUCUGUUUCGUAUUCGUCUCACACCCUUGUUCUCGCAGUGUCUUGGGGAAAUGCUCGGAUCAAAGAUAAGAGAGAACAAGGAAAGGAAUGAAGCAAGAGGCAAACAACAAAACAAAACCACCCCCCCCCCAAACUUCUUGACUAAACUUCUCUGCAAAUCGUGUGCAUGAUUACAGCACUGUUAAAACUGCCUUCUUCUUUGCCAGUACUUAAUUCCUGCUUUUAAAAUCAGGCUUCCUUUGAUCUUGAGGAUUGAAAUGAUCUGGAAAUGAAACAGCCAUUGCUUUGCAGAAAAUCUGGAUAGGGUCCCAGGCAUGGCUUUUACCUGGAAGGAUUCCAAAGUAGGAUGAAAUCUCUCCAGUUUCAGAACAAAUUGCAAGAUUUUUCUCUAUGUCUAGUCCAACUGUGGAACUCCAGCCCUGACGUCUGCUAGUUUCCAAAGCGCAGAUGUAAUAACCUCUAAGGUGAACUGUGAGCCCCAUUCCUCCAUUUUCUUCCCUCUGCCUCUCCUUCAAGGAUCAAAUGUUUGAAGAAUUUUAUUAAAACAAAGGCUUAAAUUUCUGAGCAAACUUAAGUUGAGGAGACAGUUGCUUAUAACCUGGGCUAGGUUCAGCCACAGGGGGGUUGAGCAGGACAGAGGACCAGGAGCAUCUGUAACAUCUGGAUCUUGUUGCACGCAGAGAAAUAUCUGCCUGGCUUUGCACAACCUGAUCCCAGAGCCAAAAGGGCUGAGAAAUGCAGUUAAGAGACACUGUGAAGCCGGCUUUGCCCUACCAAAUAAGUCCCAUUGAGAAAGUAAGCACAUCAAUAUUUCUUUGAGUGUUUUUCUUCUAGUUAAUAUAUUUCCAUAUGUUGCAUGAAUAUUUCUUUUAUUGGGGAUUGCAAGUCCAUCUGGUACUUGUAUUGAGAAGGCUUGAGCUGGCAGAUUCCUACUCUGUGCUCUGUUGCAGAGAUUUGGACUACUCUUACAGGAAUCAUAGGAUCACAGAAUCAUUAAGGUUGGAAAGACCAAUAAGAUCAUCCAGUCCAACCAUCAGCCCAUGCCUGUGAUUGCUCUAGACCACAUCUCCACGUGCCACAUCUCCAUGGUUCUUGUGCACCUCCAGGGACAGUGACUCCACCACCUGCCUGGGCGGCCUGUGCCAAUGCAUCACCAUUCUUUCUGAGAACAUCCAACCUGAGAACAGUUGUUGAUCGGGUAGGGACAACUACUCAUCAGCUAUCUUUUUAGUUAGAACUUUCCAAAGAAAUGCAGGCUAUCAAGUUACUUACUAUCAGUAUGUUCCCAGUGUCAUUUUUUUAUGUUACAAAAUAAGCAAGGGCUUUGUAUCUGAAGGACAGCAGUCAACAAGAAAGAAACCUCUCUCUUUGUAUGCAGUUCUCAGUGCACCAACUCUGACCUACGAAUCAUAAAGAAGAAAGGAUGCCUGAACAUCAAUACUAAGCAGAAAAUGUGCUGAAAUGUCAUAGUUUGCCAAGACAAUGAGAAUCACUUUCCCUUGUAUGUAUUAUUACAGAACAGAGGAAUAAUUAUCUGCUUUCAUACAAGCUUUUUCCUUCUGCAUGAUUAACUUCACUGAUAUCAAUAGAGAGUGUGAUGACUCUGAAAUGACAGCUCCUGGUAGCACGUUCUGGGAUUAGCACGAACAGGUUGUCACUGUACCCCGGUUAGGAACGGUCAGUCUUGUGCUGAGUGCAGGACAGAAAAGCCAGGCUGGACACCAGACAUCUGCCAGCACUAUGUCUGUCUUCAUACUGGGUGGCUCUCAGAUUGGCAUAUAGGGCUGGCUACUUCAAUGGGGCACAAAGGCCUUCAUGCAGACCCACAUGAUGGUGGUUGAGAAGUUUCCAGAUCCAAAUCAUCUGGUCAUCCUUGUGCUAAGGGAUGACUUGCAGCCUAAAAUCUGCAUACUUCAGCUCAUGGAAUGGUUGGAUAGAGAGGAAGGUCGAAGAUGCAAGAGAGCAAGUUGAGGUACUGGUAUGAAACAACCAAACUAUCUGUUCACUAAAGUUGUAAAAAAAACUGUCAUAGGUCUUCUUUGGAAAUUAAUCAAUAUGUGGAAAACUGGAUAACAACUAUAGGGACAACAGGAAUGUGCCUAUAAAUUAAAAGAAGCUAUUGUGAGCAUGCAGAGCUAUCUGGGAAAGGCACUGGGGCAGGGUAGCAGUGCUCAGUGGAGCUAGGACAGGGCCCACAUAAAGGGAUUCUUCAGCAAAGUCCAUACUUUGUCAAUGUCAAGAUACAUGGGAACUGUAAAACAAAGCAAACUGUGUGCAUGGAAUGAAAAUAGAAAUUUAGUCCAGCAUCGUGUGCCUUUGAAAACGUCAUAAUCCUUUUUAAAAGGAUGACAAAAAAGCUGUGUAUUUUUUAAGAAAUAUAGCAGGUGAAAGGAUUCAUUCUCAAAAAUCCAUGAAGUGUAAGUGAUGAAAUAUUGAGGACCGGGGGGGAGGGUGUUUUUGUAAUUCUGUAGGCAUCUCAGUCCUCUGGUGAAAUGAUGUAUGGGGCAAUCGUCUGGUAGGGGCUGAUGGGAUGUAAAUGAAACUAAUUAAGGAAAUGUCAAACAUAAUUAAUAAAACAGGUUUAAGUUGCAAAAGCACUGUCAGCUGAAUGAAUGGGGAAGAGUGUGGCAUUCCCAUUGUUGUGGGGCUUGCUUACUUAUUUAUAUAUUUAUUUAUUUAUUCCUUGCUCACCCCCUUGGCCUCCCACCAGUUCUGCAGUUGCAUCAUUCAAUUAGAUCUCAGAAAGCUCUUGCUAGACGCUUGCAUUUCCUCCUUGCCCCCCUUCUGAGCUGGGGUCCCAAAGAAUAGGAGGAAUAUAAAUUUGCCCUGUCGGUUUGCAGCCUGGGAAGAAGAAGAAAAAAAUUAAUUGCUAACUCCUCAUCUUCCCUAAGUACUACAGGACAUUAACAUAACCAAUUUGCUUGAACUCCUCACUGGCUGCUUAAUAGAGCAUCUGACCAGCUGAUAAGACCUGGGUGCUGCUGCCUAUGAUACCUUGUUAUUAGCAUUUUCAUAAUAUUCAGAUAUUACAGCCCCAUGAUUCACUAGCCUCCAUUCAUUAUUGAUAAGUACAAAAAAUAAAUAAAAAGGGUUUAUAAAUUGCAAAAGGGGGUGAGCGACCUAUAAUUAUGGCAAGCAAAUUAGGGUGCAUGGUAGAGUCAGUUACAUUUGCCUAGGAGUAAUGAUGCUCAAGAACUUUUUCUCCCCAGGGACAAGAAAAAUAAUGGAUUCCCUGGCAGCUGCAGAUGGGCUAGGAAAGGCUGUCAUCCAGGACACCGUUUAUAUAAGUUAGGCUGAGCAUAUGGCUCUGCGUCCUGCCUGUAGCCAUCUCCAGAUAAUGCUAUUUCAAUGACAUUAAAUAAAUACAUAAAUAAAAAUAACUGGACAGUGCUGCUGGUGGUGAAGGGAUACGAGGAGGAGAAAAAGCAGGUUCAGAGAGUCCACAGCAAAGUUUCUACUGAGAGCAUUCCCAGCAGUUCAGCAAUCCCAUAAAAGCAGAGUCUGCCCAGCUGAGUCACUGCAGAGAAAAAGAUGAAAUGCUAUUUCUGCUAAAACAAAACCUUUUCCAUGUUCCAGUCUAAGACAGAUGUAUUUAUACACCAAAGCUUUGAGCCUGAGAUGAUAGAAAACAUGGUUGCAAGUAGGAGCUACUAGAAAUAACCACUGGAUACUUUAUAAUUUAGUCCCUGUGGUUUUAUUUCCAUUAAUCCAAUCAAAGGCCUUUUUUCUUUACUAAUGAAACUGGAAUGAAGCACAAAAGGGAGGCUGACCUGUUAGCAGGUGACUGUUUCUUAUAAGUUAUUCAUUAAAAACACCCCAACGCUCUAGUGCUGAAGGAGACCGUACCUAUUUCUGUAUAAAUUAAACAUAAGUGACUCGGUUGCAAGAAAAAAAGUUAUUUCUCUUGGCUUCAAAACAUGGUACAGCACUUGGAGGAAACUGCACCCUUUCAGACGUUUGCAGAGAGUUAGGGACUAAAGUUACAUUCCAGCUGCUCCUACUAUUUUCUAUUCCAACCAGUUCUAAAUAUCUACUGCAGGCAUGGAUAUUACCAGUGUUUUGAAGAUAGCAUGCUCUAGGUAAGUUAGGAAUGAGCCUCAGUUUGGCCUUUCUUGUUAGUGUGUGAGGAGACUCAGGAAUAGAAGGGAAGAACUUUGCCAGAAAAAGUGCAGGUGGAAAGGCUUCUCCCUUUUAUUUUACUUUUUUUUUUCCUUUAUUAAAUUCAAUUACAUCAUUACUGAAAUUGCUUUUGGCAUUGUACUGUUGAUCUGCAUCAUUCAGUCCUUCUCUUGGGAACCCUGAAGAAUGUCCCAUUGGUAAUACCCACUAUCUGCAAAUGCUAACCUGCCUACAAAACUCUACUGUUCAUUUUUGACUUUCCAUGGAUGUUCUCAGCAUUUUUAUGGGCCAGAAUUACUAGCAAGUAUCGCCCGUGAACAACAUUCUUAUCAGAAUAUAAAUUUCUUGAGAACUUUCCUGUAUCUUAUCCAAAAGGAAAAAAUAAGAUAAUUUAUCAGAGCAAUCUGCCGGUUUGCUGAUCUGCAUUCCUCAACAGCCUAUCCUUAGAGCCUGGUUCAUUUUGAUUUAUCCAAGAAAAGACCCAAACCCAAGCUUAUUCAUUCUUACACUUUAAACUCUGGUACAGUUUACAAAGUGGACAGAAGCUCAGCAAUGAACCUUGCUUCUGCAGCAAGCAGAAAGAGAAACUUUCUCCACCAAACAUCCCCAAUCCUGUACAAGCUCAGGCCUGGGCUUGAGCCAUCCAUCUUCAACACAAGCAUCCAUCUUACAAAGGGAUCCUCAGGCAACCUGUAGAUGGUUGGUUUUCCUUGAAUCGCAUGUUAACAUCAUGGAAAAGAAAUGCAAACCCAAAGUGACACAGAUUUGCAUUCUCUUCCUUUGUGUUUAAGCAUAGCUUGUUGCUUUAGUGCUGCUGCAUUUUGGCCAAUAUAAGCAGCAAAGUACUUAUCUGGAAUAUAUAUCUUUUCUCCAAGCCCGCAAAGUUUUAGGGUUUUUUUUUUUUUUGGAGGCGAAAUAUCAUUCUUAAGAAUAAAUACAGUGUUUCCAUGCAUCUUGAUCUAAUCCAUUAGUCCUUAUAAUUUAUUGUUAACUGCUUCAAUGUAGGAACCGUGGCAGCUCUGAGUAAAGCAUUUAAGCAGGCAUCUGCUUUAUAUAAAUUAUAGGAAACUUGGUCACACAAGUUUUCAGAAAGAGAUAAAGGUCUCUUACCAACAUCUGUGGCUUUUGGGAUAGCAUUUUUUUUUUUCAACAUAAGAGGCUUUGGAGCUUGGAAACAGAGCAAAUCUAUGAGCUACCUGCAGCCUUGUUAUUUACAUUUGUAUUUGGUAUUGUGCUAAUGGCUCCAAGGAAAGAGGAAUGAGAUUGACAUGGGGGUUGGAAGCUGGAAAACACUUUAUUAGUCUCAAAUCAGCUCCUUGGAGGCUAAAGCCCUGAUUAACUAUAACUGGAGUGGAUUGUCUUAAUCUGACUGCUGUAGUAUUUUAUGUCUAGUCAUUCAGGCUUAUUUCUGUAAAUACUUAGAUAAGCUUGAAUCAAUUACUUCAGCGUCUCCUUUUGUCUCCUACCAUCAGAAAUGGCGUGGUAUCAUGAUCUAAGCAGGGAGAGGGGCAGGAUCAAAGAAAUGAUACCUUGUUGCACACUGACCAAGGAAGACAUAUGCCAGCAUGGGACAUGGUUUCUUAUACAUAAAAGGAGAUGCUUCACGGUCUUUAAUCAGGAGGGGCUGCAAAAUCAGAGUUAUUUUGAAUAUUAGACUAUUCCAAAGGACAGGAAGGAGGUUUUCUCCCCUCCUUCUAUCACCAUUUCUGGCUUUUGACAGACUGUGAGUUGUCUGAGAGGACAGCAGGAUCUUGCUGAUGAUACGUAGUUGGCCAAAGGUCUGAUGUGCAGAUGCUUUUAUUGCCUCUUUGCUUGUGCUGCUCAGAUUAAUUUGGCUCAUUCCUGAAGCUCUAUGCACUGCACAUUCCCUGACUGAAACCAAAAAAUAGACCAGCAAAGCAAACUAAUUGAAACAUGGUACUCUGCAUCUCACUUCAGCACCAUCGCUCCACUCUAGAGCUGCACAGUUCAAAGUUAAUAGACUGCAGUGUCAGGGAUGCCACUCACCAGGGUGAAAUGCAGAGCAAUGGUGGGUAAGUCUGGUGAGUGGUUUUUGUCUUCCAAAGUAGCUUGGAGACACGACUUCACUCUCUUUAGUACCUCUGGAUGCACAAAGGCAUAGCAGUGAAGGUGAUGGGAUCGUAUCAAACCUACCCAAGUGCGGAGCUUUGGUUUAAUUUUUUUUAUAUCAGUGCCUGGUCUCAGCUCUAAUUAACCUACUCCCCUAUCAGUCCAUUCCCUCCCCACAUGCCGUCUUUUCCCCUUCCUCUCUGUGAUCUCCAUUUCACUGCAGAGGUGGCCUGGCAAAGAGAUAUUAUUCUAUUUAGAAGCUGAGCACCUCACUAGGGGUGACAGGCCUGUUUUUAGGUCAUUUAUCUAAUUGCUCUUUGCAGAUAAGAAUUAAUUAGCCCGAUUAUUUUUCUUAGUUUUUGGAUGGGUUCCCCACCUGGAGAGAAGAAAUUCCUCCAUGUCAGUGAUUAAUUGCUGAGCCAGAAGCUUACUGCCUUGCAUUUGUAAUAAAUGCCGACUGGUUCUUUAGGUCACAUUAGGAACCAGGCAGAUUGUGGUUAAAAUGCACAGGAUAAUAAAGCAUUUGUACAAACAAGAUCACUGCCAUUAGAUUUUGAUUAAAUAUUUUAAUUUAUCUGGAGGUUGAAGGACCGCGGGAAUCAAAAGGUUUAAGGAUUCUUUUUUCC